Molecule: ribosomal RNA, 253 nt
Filed under: uncultured bacterium
Lineage: Bacteria
Description: partial 16S ribosomal RNA
Rfam family: Bacterial small subunit ribosomal RNA
Source: RNAcentral
UACGAAGGGGGCUAGCGUUGCUCGGAAUGACUGGGCGUAAAGGGCGCGUAGGCGGUCCGCACAGUCGGGCGUGAAAUUCCCGGGCUCAACCCGGGGGCUGCGCUCGAUACAUGCGGGCUCGAGUUCGGAAGAGGGUCGUGGAAUUCCCAGUGUAGAGGUGAAAUUCGUAGAUAUUGGGAAGAACACCGGUGGCGAAGGCGGCGACCUGGUCCGAUACUGACGCUGAGGCGCGAAAGCGUGGGGAGCAAACAGG